UUCAUUUAUCAGUAUACUUGGCCUUUAAAGUUGCUGUCAGACAUUGAGCACAGUAAUAGCAUUCUCAUAACUUUUAGAAACUCUUGCAACAAGAUAGCUUUUUAAAGUUUCCUGUUAAAAUGACACCUUUAUAUCUCAUGUGGGAUUUUGUUGUGAAAUUCUAGAAAAAUAUUAUAACCUCUCUUUGUAAUUUAUUUUACUUGUAUGAAUUUAAGAUCUCCAGCGUGUGUCUUUACUUGGUAUUCUGUUCCGGUCAGCAGCAUUGGAGAGGAAAGGAAGAGCCAUAAGCCUGGUCAUUUCCGUUGUCCAGAAGAUUUAUUUACUCAGGAGGUCGGCACAGCAUCCGGCCAGUGAGUGAGGAGAUUGAUGUGACUUAGGUUGGCUGUGAGUCUUUUAAUCACACAGAUGGUGUGUUUAUAGUAAUGAAGUGGGAGGGAAAUCAAGUAAAGAUUUUAUUGUGUUUGUUCCUUCAACCAGGGAUCAGUUCUCAGAAGGGAGCUAGAGUCCUCUUUAAGCUGCUGUCAUAAACCUAGAGUCAGUGACCUGACUGACACUGCUGUCCUGUGUUUGGCUAUGGAAGGUCUGGGAGACAACGUGUAAGCCCAGGCUGCUCCAGUCUUAAAUGGGCGAUGUCCUGCCAGGCUCUGCUACAUUGGUUGGUUGGUUUGUUGAUUGACUGACUGAUUGAUAAUUUAAGCCAUGCAGCAGUAGCCUUGUUCUCUUUGGUCACGUGCCCUUUAGGCCAGUGCUCCUUUAAUAUUAGGAUGCAGUACAAUGUACCCUGAAGGACUAGUAAAAUGUGCUGGACCUUAAGACUGAUUUAGGCAGGGAAAGAACAGAACUCUUAUGUAAAUGGAACCUCAAAUCUGCAUCCAGGUGGCCUCUAGGCCAUAGUUUAAAACACAACUUGGAAUGCAGUCGAUAUUUCUUUAUCCAUUUGGUGCUUAACAUAAUUCUCACAAGAUGUUUCAUCUAUUUAAAUAGUAAUAAUAAUCAAUAGUAGCAAUUUUAGAGUAGAAAAUAACUUGAAGUGAUAUCCAAUUCAUUGUUGGACAAAUGCAAGAAGUCACAUGAUUUGCCUAUGGUCAUACAAAGUCUCUCAAUUCCUUGCUCAGGGCUUUUAAAAACACCAGUGAUCGUGGACAUCUUGUCUUUAUUAUUGUAAAUACGAUGAUAGGAUUGGAAAAGGAGGGCAUGGGAGUAGAUGCUGAGAGCUUUAUCCAUAGGAAAGAAGUAUUUUAGUACUUGAGAAAUUAGCAGCCCAUGUGUGAGUAAACACAGCAGUUCUCUCUGUGCCCAUCACACAGCCGCUCAUACAGCCGGAAGCGCUUGUGUCUCACUGAGAACAGUGAUAACUCUGCGACAGUCUCGAAGAGUCAACACUUCUUACCACAGAUGCUGGAAAAGCUGGAAAUGUUGUAGUCAUUGAAACAUUCAACCAAGCACAAUGGAAAUCAUAGGCUUGCUUGCCGUAGCUUUGGAAAAAGGUUGCUUUUUGGGUCUUUUUUUUUCCCCCAAAGAAAAUAGUUUGGGAGGAAAGUAUAGCAAUUAAUACCUUCACAAUUAAAAACUAUUAUAUAAGGAUCAAAUUGAUACUCAAAAGAAGAUUCCAUAAAUGAUAUCAGUUUGUAAAGAGUUCUAUGUCAGAUGUUAUACCCACAUGUCACCUAACGCAAGCCAGGGACCCUUGAAUCACUGUUGCUGAAUACCUACUAUGUGUUGAAGAAUGUGUCUGCUUUAAUAUACUAUGGGCCCCUACAAAGACCCUUACAAGGUAGGUGGAAUGAGCGUCAAAUUAUGUUGAAAGUAGCAGUGUGUUAAAAAAUGAAGUGACGUGCCUUCAGCCACAGGUGGCAGAGGUGGCAGCACUGGAUUCAGAUGGAGGUUUGCUGUCAGUUUUAUUGCUGAGACUGCACUGACUCCUCUGCGUUUUGCCCCUUAGUUCAUGGAGGAGGAGUUACACUGGUCUGCUGGUCCAUGUGCUUGCUAUCUUCUGCAAAGUUUGAUCACACAGUUGGCCUCGUUCCCUUGAGUACUGCAUAAAAGAACAUUUCAAGCACUGAUGUUCCCAUGAGACUGGAGAGCAUAAACUCAGGCCAUUUCUAACAGAAAAACUAUGCAGAUGAGUCCCCAUGGUGGCGAAAAAGUGGAUAGUCAGCCUUGUGAGAAGCAAAGCCAGACAGAUGAGAAGUGACAAGAGCCAGCAAACUGAGCAGGGAUCCGUUGCCCUCUCUGAGGAACAGUCAGGAUCAAGACAAAAUCAGACAGUACUAAGCAAGGAAUUGAACGGCCUCAGAAAAACCUGUUCUAUUGGGAAGAGUUACAUAUCUUAACGUCCCUUUUUGUUUUUAUUUUGUUUUUGGCUUUUUGAGACAGGGUUUCUUUGUAUAGACCAGACUGCCUUCAAAUUCACAGAUGUCCACCUGCCUCUGCCUUCCAAGUGUUGGGAUUAAAGACAUGUGCCACCACAGCCUGGCCUUAGGGUCUCACUUUAAUAGUCUAAAACUAUGUUGUUUUUUUUUUACUGUUUUAUUUAGUCAUUUUUAUUAUAAUUGGUAGAAAUAUAUUUUAAUUGAUAACGAAGUUAUUACUGUUGGUAAAGCUUCCUUUGGAAGAGUCUAUUAAUGGGAAUGCUAUGUUGAAUGACUUACAGAUGUAUCAAAUAUACAGUAGUUGCUUAUUUUCAAUCAUGAAAUAAAGAGCUAAAGUAAGAAACUUCUACUUUAAAAAAAAAUAUUAUGUGAUCACAAUUCGGGGGCCAGGGGAACAUAUGCUUUUAAUUCCAGAAGUGGGGAUGCAGAGGCAGGAGGAUCUUCUGUGAGUUUGAGGUCAGCAGGUCUACAUAGUAAGGUUCUGGGCUAGCCAGAGUUAUACAGUAAGACCCUGCUUAUU
RNAcentral lists this long non-coding RNA (2892 nucleotides) under Mus musculus (house mouse). RNAcentral describes it as "long non-coding RNA chr4:45374735-45377627". Lineage: Eukaryota; Metazoa; Chordata; Mammalia; Rodentia; Muridae. The record is from RNAcentral.